RNAcentral lists this transfer RNA (72 nucleotides) under Camelus bactrianus (Bactrian camel). It matches the Rfam family "tRNA". From Rfam's summary of the family: Transfer RNA (tRNA) molecules are approximately 80 nucleotides in length. Their secondary structure includes four short double-helical elements and three loops (D, anti-codon, and T loops). Lineage: Eukaryota; Metazoa; Chordata; Mammalia; Artiodactyla; Camelidae. The record is from Rfam by way of RNAcentral. RNAcentral also lists the same sequence under 2 other names.
GAGGGUGUAGCGCAGUGGUAGCGAGCAUGCUUUGCAGGCAUGAAGUCUGAGUUUCAAUCCCUAGUGCCUCCA